UCCGGUGGUUCUGAAUGGAAGGGCCAUCGCUCAACGGAUAAAAGGUACUCCGGGGAUAACAGGCUGAUACCGCCCAAGAGUUCAUAUCGACGGCGGUGUUUGGCACCUCGAUGUCGGCUCAUCACAUCCUGGGGCUGAAGUAGGUCCCAAGGGUAUGGCUGUUCGCCAUUUAAAGUGGUACGCGAGCUGGGUUUAGAACGUCGUGAGACAGUUCGGUCCCUAUCUGCCGUGGGCGCUGGAGAACUGAGGGGGGCUGCUCCUAGUACGAGAGGACCGGAGUGGACGCAUCACUGGUGUUCGGGUUGUCAUGCCAAUGGCACUGCCCGGUAGCUAAAUGCGGAAGAGAUAAGUGCUGAAAGCAUCUAAGCACGAAACUUGCCCCGAGAUGAGUUCUCCCUGACUCCUUGAGAGUCCUGAAGGAACGUUGAAGACGACGACGUUGAUAGGCCGGGUGUGUAAGCGCAGCGAUGCGUUGAGCUAACCGGUACUAAUGAACCGUGAGGCUUAACCUUACAA
RNAcentral lists this ribosomal RNA (516 nucleotides) under Escherichia coli. RNAcentral describes it as "partial 23S ribosomal RNA". It matches the Rfam family "Bacterial large subunit ribosomal RNA", at positions 2419 to 2925 of the family's 2925-position model. Lineage: Bacteria; Pseudomonadati; Pseudomonadota; Gammaproteobacteria; Enterobacterales; Enterobacteriaceae. The record is from RNAcentral.